UUUUCUUGUGUUCCUCUCGAGUGCAUUUCCACGCACGUCCACGAGAUGUCCCCUCAGGCUCCAAUCUGGGUUACCGCGGACUCUUAAGAGCGCCCGAACCGACGUGGAGUAGGUAGGGCCUAUCGUAGAGCAGGGCGUGAUGGCGUCAUGAGUUGCCGGGCGGUUUCUUGCCCCCACUCGCUCAGUCUGCCCCCAGUUUAGGAUAGCAAUCGAGAUUCUCGAGGCUCAUACUCAACCGCCGUCCAGUGCAUCCAGCGCGUGGGCAGAAGCUACGAAAGAGAUAUGUGAGCCCCGAACUGGAGAGUAGGAGGAACUCAAUGGGAUUCAGACUUCUUGUCAGAUUUUAGCUAAUGCCGAAAGGAGCAUGCCUUGACCAAUUCCUCCCUAACUGUCUCUGUGCUGCCUUGGGCUGUGGGAUGGAUAACAGAACUUUUGAAUCAUCACUGGAAUAAACUCGUUAGAGCCUCUUCUUCAUAACGCCGUAUCUGCAACUCAGACACAUGAAGGAAGUGGCCAGACCUGCUCCGUCACCUGCCUGUGCAUCUCUGUCCCACCUGAGAGCUUCCACAGGCCCCGGUGCCUUCUUCCUCUUCGCCAUCUGUCUUGUGCUCAUCUCCUCCGAGAAGCCUUCCAUGACUAAUCCUACUCUCAGCUCCAACUCAUCCCUUGAAAAUUUAUACAAACUAGAUUUAGCACCUUCUCGCAAUGCAGUAAAAGAGGACAGGAGAGCAGCGUGUCACAGAGACUUGCACAAAGGAGACUAAGGUCAUAUGCUGUGGAGACCCUUCUGAGAAGGAAAACCUCGCUGGAUUUUGUAAGAGACUAUAUGAAUGACCAGAGCUGGACACACAAUUUCAGGGCCCAGUGCAACAUGAAAACAUAGGGCCCCUUGUUCAAAAACUGAGAACUUCAAGAUGGCAACAGCAGAUUGUAAAACCAAGUGCAGGGCCCUUCUGAGUGUGGGGCAUGGGGCCCCGUGGGACUGUACAGGCCACAUGUCCGUGAAGCUGGCCCUGGAGGUGACCUUUGAAGAAGCAGUUUCAGAAGCGUGAUGGGGGCCAGAAUCCGAUAUUGGAUGAUAUCAUCUCUGGAGAUAAUUCACCACUGACUCAUUCUUGUGACGUCAACAGGGGCAUUUCUCAGACUCACACUUGUCCAAGAAAUCAGAUAAGACACAUUUUCUACACUUGGGCAGGAGAAGCAAGAAUUUUGUCUGUGGAUUGCUUGUUAGUUGCUUGUUAGGCACUCUGCCACUGAAUGCUUGGGUGUCCGUUUUGGGAUUGUGGCUGAAUGUGGAACAGCAGACAUUUGGAAUCCUACCUCACACUGUUCUUCUCUCACACUGGCCAGGAGUUUAGCUAAAUAAGGCACAAGAGUUGAGCAUGGCUGUUGAUAGAGCGAUCUUCUCAGACUAGGAAAGCUUCCAAGGAAGAGCAGGCCUGGCGUGCCCAGCACAGCAGCUGCGGGAGAAGCGGGCAGUGUGUAGAUAGGAGAGUCCAACUGGAGCAUUCAUGUGGUUAGUCGAGGGUGGCUAAGUGCAGUGCUCAGCGGAGAAGGAACUGAGAGGGAGGGGGAAGCACCCAAGACGAUGCACAUUGUAGGCCGGGGGUUGACAAAGUUGGGGCAGAAAUUCUUCUCUGCCACACAUUCAUCCGUUCAGUGAGGAUUUCCUGUGUGCCUCAUGUUCCAAGAACUGUGCUCAUGGAAGGGGACACAGACCCUGCUCUAAAGGUGCUGGGACUUCAGCAGUGGUUAACCCAGCCUGCACAUCAGAACCACUUGGAGGUCUCUUACAAAUUAGUUGUGCUUGGGCUUCGCCAGGACCAAUUAAAUUCAGAUUUCUGUGGCUAGGGUCUAGGCACUCAAAAACUCCCGGGGCAUUUCUGGGGUGCCUAGGUGGUUCCGUUGGUUAAGCAUCUAACUCUUUUUAAAAAUUUUUUAAUGUUUAUUUAUUUUUGAAAGAGAGAGAGAGAGG
This is a long non-coding RNA of Leopardus geoffroyi (Geoffroy's cat), 1975 nucleotides long. RefSeq lists it as uncharacterized. The record is from RefSeq and is a predicted model, not a curated record. The transcript has 4 exons. NCBI's taxonomy places the organism in Eukaryota, Metazoa, Chordata, Mammalia, Carnivora, Felidae.